This 2878-nucleotide ribosomal RNA is filed under the name human gut metagenome. RNAcentral's name for it is "bacterial LSU rRNA". It matches the Rfam family "Bacterial large subunit ribosomal RNA". The record is from RNAcentral.
UCAAGCGAAUAAGCGCACACGGUGGAUGCCUUGGCGGUCAGAGGCGAUGAAGGACGUGGCAGCCUGCGAAAAGUAUCGGGGAGCUGGCAACAAGCUUUGAUCCGGUAAUGUCCGAAUGGGGAAACCCACCCGCUUGCGGGUAUCCUGCAGUGAAUACAUAGCUGCUGGAAGCGAACCUGGUGAACUGAAAUAUCUAAGUAACCAGAGGAAAAGAAAUCAACCGAGAUUCCGUAAGUAGCGACGAGCGAACGCGGACUAGCCCUUAAGCUGAUUUGGUUCUAGGAAAACGCUCUGGAAAGAGUGGCCAUAGAAGGUGAUAGCCCUGUAUCUGAAAGGGCCAUUCCAGUGAAGACGAGUAGGGCGGGGCACGUGAAACCCUGUCUGAACAUGGGGGGACCAUCCUCCAAGGCUAAAUACUACUGACCGACCGAUAGUGAACCAGUACCGUGAGGGAAAGGCGAAAAGAACCCCGGAGAGGGGAGUGAAAUAGAACCUGAAACCGUGUGCGUACAAGCAGUAGGAGCUCCGCAAGGAGUGACUGCGUACCUUUUGUAUAAUGGGUCAGCGACUUACUGUUCGUGGCAAGCUUAACCGUAUAGGGGAGGCGAAGGGAAACCGAGUCUGAUAAGGGCGCAUAGUCGCGGGCAGUAGACCCGAAACCGGGUGAUCUAGUCAUGCCCAGGGUGAAGGUGCGGUAACACGCACUGGAGGCCCGAACCCACUCCCGUUGCAAAGGUAGGGGAUGAGGUGUGAUUAGGAGUGAAAAGCUAAUCGAACCCGGAGAUAGCUGGUUCUCCUCGAAAGCUAUUUAGGUAGCGCCUCAUAUGUAUCCUCUCGGGGGUAGAGCACUGUUAUGGCUAGGGGGUCAUCGCGACUUACCAAACCAUUGCAAACUCCGAAUACCGAGACGGACUGUAUGGGAGACACACGGCGGGUGCUAACGUCCGUCGUGAAAAGGGAAACAACCCAGACCCACAGCUAAGGUCCCAAAUUUUGUGCUAAGUGGAAAACCAUGUGGAAAGGCACAGACAGCCAGGAGGUUGGCUUAGAAGCAGCCACCCUUUAAAGAAAGCGUAAUAGCUCACUGGUCGAGUCGGUCUGCGGGGAAGAUUUAACGGGGCUAAGCACAGAACCGAAGCUUGGGGUGCAUAACUUUGUUAUGCGCGGUAGAGGAGCGUUCCGUAAGCCGUUGAAGGUGGAUUGAGAAGUCUGCUGGAGGUAUCGGAAGUGCGAAUGCUGACAUGAGUAACGAUAAUGCGGGUGAAAAACCCGCACGCCGAAAGCCCAAGGUUUCCUUGCGCAACGUUAAUCGGCGCAGGGUGAGUCGGCCCCUAAGGCGAGGACGAAAGUCGUAGUCGAUGGGAAGCAGGUUAAUAUUCCUGCACCUCGCGUAAGUGCGAUGGAGGGACGGAGAAGGUUAGGUGUACCAGGCGUUGGUUGUCCUGGGGAAAGGCGGUAGGUUUGGAUCUUUGGCAAAUCCGGGAUCCUUUAAGACCGAGCACCGAGACGAGCCUUUAUGGCGAAGUCACUGAUACCACGCUUCCAGGAAAAGCUCCUAAGCUUCAGCUUACGCAGACCGUACCGUAAACCGACACAGGUGGGUAGGAUGAGAAUUCUCAGGCGCUUGAGAGAACUCGGGUGAAGGAACUAGGCAACAUGGCACCGUAACUUCGGGAGAAGGUGCACCCUUUUUGGUGGCUCGUGCGAGCUAUAGCUGAAGAGGGUCGCAGUAACCAGGCCGCUGCGACUGUUUAUCAAAAACACAGCACUCUGCAAACACGAAAGUGGACGUAUAGGGUGUGACGCCUGCCCGGUGCUGGAAGGUUAAUUGAUGGGGUCAGCCGCAAGGCGAAGCUCUUGAUCGAAGCCCCAGUAAACGGCGGCCGUAACUAUAACGGUCCUAAGGUAGCGAAAUUCCUUGUCGGGUAAGUUCCGACCUGCACGAAUGGCGUAACGACAGCGGCGCUGUCUCCACCCGAGACUCAGUGAAAUUGAAAUCGCUGUGAAGAUGCAGCGUUCCCGUGGCAAGACGGAAAGACCCCGUGAACCUUUACUAUAGCUUUACACUGAACGUUGAGUUCGUCUGUGUAGGAUAGGUGGGAGGCUAUGAAACCAUGGCGCUAGCUGUGGCGGAGCCAUCCUUGAAAUACCACCCUGUCGUGCUUGACGUUCUAACCUGGGCCCAUUAUCUGGGUCGGGGACCGUGUAUGGUGGGUAGUUUGACUGGGGCGGUCUCCUCCUAAAGAGUAACGGAGGAGCUCGAAGGUACGCUCAGCGCGGUCGGACAUCGCGCACUGUGUGCAAAGGCAUAAGCGUGCUUGACUGCAAGAUCGACGGAUCAAGCAGGUAGGAAACUAGGACUUAGUGAUCCGGUGGUUCUGUAUGGAAGGGCCAUCGCUCAACGGAUAAAAGGUACUCCGGGGAUAACAGGCUGAUACCGCCCAAGAGUUCAUAUCGACGGCGGUGUUUGGCACCUCGAUGUCGGCUCAUCACAUCCUGGGGCUGUAGUCGGUCCCAAGGGUAUGGCUGUUCGCCAUUUAAAGUGGUACGCGAGCUGGGUUCAGAACGUCGUGAGACAGUUCGGUCCCUAUCUGCCAUGGGCGUUGGAGAUUUGAGAGGGGCUGCUCCUAGUACGAGAGGACCGGAGUGGACGAACCUCUGGUGUUCCGGUUGUCACGCCAGUGGCAUUGCCGGGUAGCUAUGUUCGGAAGCGAUAACCGCUGAAAGCAUCUAAGCGGGAAGCGCGCCUCAAGAUGAGAUCUCCCGGGGCACAAGCCCCCUGAAGGAACCAUGUAGACUACGUGGUUGAUAGGUCAGGUGUGUAAGUACAGCAAUGUAUUGAGCUAACUGAUACUAAUGAUCCGUGCGGCUUGACCAU